RNAcentral lists this long non-coding RNA (879 nucleotides) under Coturnix japonica (Japanese quail). RNAcentral's name for it is "lncRNA (ENSCJPG00005014261.1)". Lineage: Eukaryota; Metazoa; Chordata; Aves; Galliformes; Phasianidae. The record is from RNAcentral.
AUGGAAACUGCUGCAAGUUCUCCCUGUGGGCACAUUCCCAGAUUUCCUUGUGAAUGAGCUUUUCUGCUGGAAUUGGACCUAAGUAUGCAGGGCCAGGAGGGCUGUUCCCUUGAACUGCUCCCACCCAGAAGCAAUACUUCUUUAUAGCUGUGGACUGAGGAGGACCCACACAACCUGCUCAGAUAUUGCUGCUUCCAGAAUAUAGCCACAUCCUGUGCAUCAGCAGGGCUAGCAGAAGUUUUUCUUUAGCCAUUUACUUUUUCUUUCCUUCUUUUCUUUGCAGAAAGAGGUAGCUUUGGAAGAAUCUCUCAAUUCCUCAUCCUGAAAGCUUCAGGAUAGCCAACAAGUCCGGGUACAAACUUGGUAUCUACUUUGCUCACACCAGUCCUCCUGAACAUCAGAGUAUCAAGAGCCAGAACUUUGUUUCCUGGCCAUCUCCAGCUGUUAUUGCACCUCCUGGCACAGGAAACAGGGCCAACUUCUCCCCUGGUCACCAGCACUGUUCAGCUAGUGUGCGUGCUGAGGAACCACAGAGCCCUGCAAUGGCCUUCAUGUGAAGUGGUUCAGACUAACAGGUGAUUUUCAGUGAAAGAAAAAAACGCCAAUGAGCUUCAAGGCCCAUCCAAUUGCACAUGGGAAAAACAAAUAGUCAUGACCAACCCAGGAGGCUCAGCCAGCAGCCAGGACCAGUUUCUGUGACUCAGGUAGGUACAGUCCAGCACCGUCAACCUGAUUGAGCUGUAGAUGUCCCUGUUCAUUGCAGGGGAGUUAGUUGGACUAGAUGACCUUUAAAGGUUCCUUCCUACUCAAACGAUUCUAUGACUGUACGAUGGUCUUGCAUCCAGCUGCAUGCUGGGGAUUAACCCAAUGCAUCCCUAU